Molecule: long non-coding RNA, 2343 nt
Organism: Erigeron canadensis
Lineage: Eukaryota; Viridiplantae; Streptophyta; Magnoliopsida; Asterales; Asteraceae
Exons: 5
Source: RefSeq, a predicted model, not a curated record
AACAAUAAAAGUUUUGCGUCCUAAAUAUGAAUUCAUCUACUAAUAUGAAUUCCAAAUCACAAUUUCGUGCCUUAAAUCUUCAUAUUCGAUCAACGAACGGCAAUAAAAGUAACAUUAACAUAAUUGAAUCCGACUGGUAAGGAUUUCAUUCCAUCCUUUUUUGGUGGCCUUCGUUUUGGUGUGCGAACAACAAAGCCAUAAGAACAAAUUUACUUUUGUUUUUUCCCGGAUCAAUGGAGGGUGAUUCAGGUAUCCAAUAUGCUUUUCAAUCCCAUCGGUCAUAUCCUGGGUAAAUUACGAGGAUGGUACUUGGCGAAUACACCAGAUUUCACAAUUCAUACCUAUUUGCAAAAAAUUACCCGAGAGAUACCCAUGGUUUGCAAAUUUGCACAAUUGACAUACCUACGUCUAACGGAGCAUGACGGAUCGUUAAAUAUUGACAUGUGCCACUCACAUGCGAAGGCAUAGGAGAUGUAUAUUGAAUAUUUCCAGCGGGUAUUGGUGCUAGAUUAAUUUUUAGAUGGAAGACAUAUUGAGUUUCCAAAAUAUGAAAUGGGCAAUUUUGUGGGUCCCACUAUAUUACCUGCUAGCAUGGAGUGAUGGGUAUGCUAUACAAUUUCCCCUUAGAUUAUCUAUACUCUAAGAAGAUUGUAAAAUACUAAAGUCUUAAUAUCACUAUCUUUAUUGGGUCUAGGAGGAGAUUACUGGCCAUGUUUUUCUAUGUAUGCAGAUGGCUCACUAACGUCACUAUAUGUUAUUUCAUAUGAACAUGAGCAUAGACUCUUUUUUUUUGUCAUAAACUUUGACUAGAGAUGAACACUAUGGUCCUCAUCUAUAUGUUUCUAAAAAUUGACUUUGGUUGAUGAUCUAAUGUGUUUUGGAUUUGGAUUUAUGUAUUACAUUUUUUAUUUAUAACCUAUCUCACCAUGGUUUAGAUUCACGUUUUUUCUACUUAUGAUAAUAGCAAUGCAAAUGAGUAAAAGUAAUUUUAAUUAUUAAGAAAAACUGCUUAGGGAUAGAGACUAACAUCUACUUUGUUUACCACCGGAUCUUAAUUGAUAAUGAGUUCUUAUUUUGGACACUCCUACAUUUUUUUAAUAUCAUUCGCAAUUUUGGAUGCGAUAUAUAGUAGAUAGGCAAUGAUGGUGAAAUGGCAUGGAGUAUACCUAAGAAUCUGUACGGCGCUCACCUUUCCUUUUUGUGGAUGUCAUAAUUGCAAGAUAACCACGUCAUUAGCAUGUUUUUUUCCCCAGAAUUUUACGCAGAAAGCCCGGGUUGAACCCAGGUUGUUUAGCUAGUACAUGUAUAUAUAUUAUUAUCUUCCUAUUGGAUACGCAAAAAUUUAUGUUUUAGUUUUUAUUAGUUGGAUUUUCAUCAUGAAAUAGUCAUAUGGAUAUAGAAAUUAAUUAUGAUGGUCAUAAUGAAUAUAGAUAGAGAUGCAAAUAUAUACUAAUAUACAUUAAUGUGUAGUAUAUCCAGGAAUGCCUGUGGAUUUGUUUUAAUGACGUGGUAUGAUUACGAAAAAAACUAACCGCAUUACUUUUAUUUAAAAUUUUUAAAAAAUGAAAUUCUUAUAAAUUUUGAGUUAAUAUGUUACAUCUUUAUGGAUUUUUCCCUUAUGUACUUAUCAGUUUAUAUACAAUCGGUAUAUAUCAUUCUGUAUAAGGUACCUUCCAAAUUUUCAGUAUAUUUUUCUUUUACAUGUUCAUACUUAUGUCAUCUAUCCAUUACAUACAAUCUGCCGCUGACAAACUAAAACUUUCUGAAUGGAAUAGUUGUGUUAGUAACGCUAUGGAAAGAACAGCAAGAAAUACAAUGUUUUGUAAUGCUCUUUUUAUUGCUUGCAAUAACAUUGGCAUUUCAUCUGACUGCGAAAAUCAACACAGAUAAUAAUUCAGCCAAAAGUAACUAGAUUGGGCAAGAUCACUGGCAAGGCUUAACCUUAGCAGCAAACCUCUUGAGUUACCAGAUCCUCUAGGCAUAAGUACUUGCUUGUGAGGACGCAGUAAAUGUGGAAGGGAUACAAAAGUCAAAAGUUGAACGCAUUGCUACUUGUAGUGCGAAGUUCCUAGUGUUUGUGAUGAUAUUUAUUGCUGGCAUUCACGGAUACCCCGUGAUGCUGCGGCAGUGGCGACAUGAUGGCGGUGGCGGAUAGACGGGAUGGUGAUUAGACGGGGAAAAAUGUUGGUUAUUAAUAUUAAAUGAUUAGUGUACUUAUUUUAAGAAUUAAUGGGUAUAUAUUGUAAAUUAAUUUCAUUAAGAGUAUAUUGUAUACAAUAACACUAUGGAUAGUGUUAGUUAUAUUAGUAAAAACAUUUAUGGUAUUUUAAAGGUAGAAAAGUU